AUAUACUCUUGUACUUUCAUGCCAUGAAGGGCUAUUUGGUUAGACUCUUUGAUGUUUUUGAUCUCCUAUUUACAACAAUAAUAGUAAUUAUUAUCCGUUAACAUGCAUAUUUUCAGUUUAUCUGGUUUAUCAUUGGAACAGAGUACGAUUAUUGGUUUAUCACCUUCUUUAAUCAACAACAGCUAAUUUGUUUUAUAUUUACUUACAAAAAAAAAAAGUUUAGCAAAUCAUACAUGUGAAGAAGGUCACUGGCACAAAUUGAAUACUGCCAGUUCUGCAUCAGUUAUUUUCUCCAUUAACAAAAUCAUUAUUUUCCUCGUUCUCUAUUUUUCUCAUGUCCUUGUAAUUUGAAUUGGGUUUUACGUAGCAUAUUGAUGUCAAAUGCUGUAUCUGAUGCUCAAAUUCAAGUAUCAAUAUUUUCUUCUUGUCCAUACUCUGAUUGACCAAGAACUGAGUGUGUUCCCUAGUUACAAGUCUUAGAAACUCCUUCGGUUUAGUUACAAGUCUUCUUUUUUCAACAAAUGAGCACUACUUGGAAUGUGUAUAUCGUCAUCCUUGAAAGUCAGUUCUGAACUUCUGUUGAGAUUUGUGAUUUCAUUUUUUUGACAUUACAUGACGAUAAUGCUCCUCCAUUCUUUCUGGCAGGAAUUUCUUGAAGUCUUAUUAUUUCCCACAAGGAGAGACUGCUUAAAGAUUUUUGUGGAAAAGUUUUGUUUGCUGAGUUUGUAAUUGCUGUAGAAGUAUUCCCGUGUAUCCUUGCAUAGUUUUCAGAUGUAUCCUAUAUUUAUGCCUCAGAAGGAAAUUAUGUGCCAUAGAUAAAGUUGAACAGGGGGUGGAUGUGCAAUCCCGGGGCUGGCAACAUACUUGAAUAAAACCAAAUAAUUGAUGUGGAAAUCUUUGGGCAAAGUUAGCUUUAUGUUCUGGUGAAGGACUCAUAAUUGAUCUCUUUUCAGACAGUUCUGGUAGGCUCUUCCACCAGUGAGCCAAAUGUCACAGACCGGAUAACUCCCUAGCUAUCUUCCGUGCGGCCUUAGUCACAAUUCGCCCCUGCGAUGUGCUAAGUCAGCCUUUCCCCGAAAUAUUGCCACAAAGAGAAAGCUUUGUACAAGUGUUGGAUUUCUCUAUGUCUUAUAUGUUCUUAAAUUCCAAAUGCCAUCCCAUAUUUAUAGGGGAGGCUUACAAGCUCUAGAGGUUCUAGAGAGUUCUACAGCCUUCUAGCUAUGUACAUGUCCUAGAAUUCUAUGGAGAGUUCUAGAGAGUUCUACUACAUUCUAGGUAGAUACAAGAGUGUUCUAGAGUUCUAGAGAGCUCUAGAGAUCUCUACACCUAGUAGAAUAUACAAGAUAACUCUAGAGAGGUCUAGAGUCUUCCAUUAGAAGAAUCUAGACUUGGCUAGAGAAAUGCUGCCAUUCGCGCGCCAAAUCAUUGCCAAUGUGUCGCCCAGUCAUCGCCCGCAUGGCAUAAUCUCCUAGAAAAUGUAGGGGCGUGACACAAAGCUCUGUAAACUCUUAAUUUUGUCAGAACACUUCCCCUUCGUGGUGUAGGGUCUUAAUAUGCUGAAAAAUAUUUAUUCGCACCUUAGUGUUGUACAAACUAUAUGGUUAAUCAUUGUUAAGUGAAAUAAUAAGGUAAAACUGCA
This 1639-nucleotide long non-coding RNA is filed under the name Nicotiana benthamiana. RNAcentral's name for it is "long non-coding RNA (NBEN_LNC041452)". The record is from RNAcentral. Lineage: Eukaryota; Viridiplantae; Streptophyta; Magnoliopsida; Solanales; Solanaceae.